UCUCCGUUGGUGAACCAGCGGAGGGAUCAUUACAGAGUCGUAAAACACUCCCAAACCCAUGUGAACUUACCAAUGUUGCCUCGGCGGUCCCCUGCCGGAUAGCCAGCUACCCUGUAGCGACCUACCCUGUAGCCGCCGGCGGACCAAUAAACUCUUGUUAUUCUAUGGAUAUCUGAGCGUCUUAUUUAAUAAGUUAAAACUUUCAACAACGGAUCUCUUGGUUCUGGCAUCGAUGAAGAACGCAGC
This 246-nucleotide unclassified non-coding RNA is filed under the name uncultured fungus. RNAcentral's name for it is "sequence contains ITS1, 5.8S rRNA gene". The stretch from base 198 to 246 matches the Rfam family "5.8S ribosomal RNA", at positions 1 to 49 of the family's 154-position model. The record is from RNAcentral. Lineage: Eukaryota; Fungi.